AAAGUAAACAUUUGUACCGUAGACAGCAGGUGCCGGAGGGCUUAAUUUCCUGCCGAGGUAAUGCGUAUAAAUCCGGGGGCGCCUUAAGGCCUCCGCAUGCAUGAAACCUCCAUGUCUCGGGAUAUGGAGGUUUUGUUUUGG
RNAcentral lists this small RNA (141 nucleotides) under Heyndrickxia coagulans. RNAcentral describes it as "Ribosomal protein L10 leader". It matches the Rfam family "Ribosomal protein L10 leader". Rfam says of the family: This family is a putative r-protein leader autoregulatory structure found in B. subtilis and other low-GC Gram-positive bacteria. It is located in the 5' untranslated regions of mRNAs encoding ribosomal proteins L10 and L12 (rplJ-rplL). A Rho-independent transcription terminator structure that is probably involved in regulation is included at the 3' end. Lineage: Bacteria; Bacillati; Bacillota; Bacilli; Caryophanales; Bacillaceae. The record is from RNAcentral.